AUGCGGCAAAAACGGCAGUCCUCCCAUUCAUUUGAAUGGGGGUAGUCCGUUUAGGCUGCGGCAGUGGGGACCGCACGGGGGUGCAGAAAAACAAAACGCAGACCACGUGCGGGACGAAGAACCAGAAUUAACUUUUGCCGUAAGGCAACCCGACGUCACGCUGCGGUGGCCAAUCACGUCCGAUCAGAGCGGAAGAAGCCCACGGGAAGAAGCGCACGGGAAGAAGAGCCUUGUUUACCAUGUAGCAUUCCGCUGUUUACCGAACAACUGUGAAGAUAUGGAAGAGAGACUGAUCGCCGCCGUGAUGACCUUUCCAGAGCUGUACAACCCUGCCAUGAGGGAGUAUAAAGACGGCAAUCGCCGUGCAGUGGCUUGGCGUUGUAUCGCUCUUCAAGUUCCGAUUUCUGAGGAGGACGCUAAGAAAAAGUGGAGAAAUCUCAGAGACAGAUACAGGAAGGAACACAUGGCUGAGAAGAAGAGGCGUAGCCGAUCGGCAGAAGGGCCAAGGAGGACAUGGAAAUUCAUGCCACUGCUUCACUUCCUCGACCCCUACGUCAAGGACAGGCCGACAUCUUCCAACAUGAGGCAUGGCGAGGGUGCUUCUGAAACGGACAGUUUCUCAGCAUCGGAGCCGAGCCCCAUACUGAGUGAUGCUGAGGUGCCCUCCUGCAGCACAGCCACCAACCCAGACAUCAGCCUUGUGAUGCGCCCGGUGACGUCUCAGGAGAACUUCUGCGAGCUCACGCCUCAGGAGAACUUCUGCGGGGUCACACCAGGACCCGUGAUGCCCUUUGAGUGCCCCCGCAUGCCCACACCUGGUCCUUCACAGCCCCUGCAGCGCCCCUGCCCUGCUACACCAGAGCCCCUCCAAAGCCCCAGCAAACCCCUGCACGAAGGGAGUCGACCUUCUCGCCCCAAGAGAGGACACACAGAGCUCUCUGAAUUUGAGGCCCAGGUGAUGAACACACUUAGCAGCCGUCCAGACGAGGAGGAGCACUUUGGAUUGAGCCUGGCGGCAACAUUGCGGAGACUUCCCCCAUCAAAGAGACGACUGCUACGGUGCCACAUUGAGCAGCUAGUCUAUGAGGUCGAGUUUGGGGAUGGACUGUGCAAUAGAGGGUAUGCACUGACGUCACUUUCCCACCGGAAUACGCCCCCUCAGUCAGACUGAGUGGCAAAACAACAUGCUGCAACAUGGCUGCCUUUAGUAGGGGAAACUGCGAAACCGGGAGUAAAACAAACGAUUAUCUGCUUAAAUUAAAGGUAGUUGGACUCGACAGUGAUCCUUACAACCAUAGGAGUAGAUUUCGGGGGGGACUCAGUGGGUACGUCCCCCUCAAUAUUUAGAACACAGGCAUUUGUCCCCCCCCAAUAAAAACUGAAUUUUGUGUUUUCCUUUACAUAAAUAAAGACAUUUCCACCAUAAAUUGAUGCAGAAAAGGCACAAAUUGGUGCAUAAAAAUUCACCAGAAUGCAGGAAAUGAAGUGUUUGACGCUCAAAAUUUCCUGGGGAGGACCCCCCAGACCCCCUGCUUAAUGUGUCUCCCCCAAUGUUCAAACAAAACCUACACCACUGCUUACAACUUACCAAAGAACCAGUGGUCCAUGGACAUUGACAUGUGGCCAGGGAUCGGGUUUCCUGACAUUUAUAUGUACCUGAUUUCAACGCCGGGGAAAUACACAAAGCAAAGCCUGAAGGCAUACAAAAACCUUGACGCUUGGUUGUACUUCAAGGUGGGAUUUGUUGGCAAAAUUAAAGUGACGAGGACACCAAUGAAUAUUCUGGUUGCACGUGGACAGGUGGGGCAUUCAGCAGGAGACCAAGGCAAAGGAGGCAUACAUCGAGACCAUGUCAUCAAAACACCUAAAUUUUGAUGUAACCCCACCCCCACUGGACUCUACAUUUCUCCGCAGUACCCUCAUCUUGGCGCAUCACCUGAUGGGAAGGUGUCUUGUGACUGUUGUGGCUCUAUGUGCUUGGAGAUCAAAUGUCCCUACUUGGCAAAAGACAAGACACUGUUAGAACUGUCAAAAGAAAAAGACUUUUGCUUGGUUGCAUCCUCACCCUCAGAUGUGACACUGGAACGUAACAGACAACACAACUAUUACACAACUAAGUACAGUGCCAGAUUCAUGUUACAAAAUCACCAUUUUGUGACUUUUGUGUGUGGACACCUUCAGAAUUAUAUAUUGAGAGAUUCAAAUUUUGAAAGACAUUUUAUGAAGGCAACAAAGUUUUUCAAGUAUGGAGUGUUGCCAGAAUUGCUAAGAAAAUGGUUUACACGAAAUGCAGUGCUGAAUCUUGGUGUAACAUCUGAUCUGUAGGCCUGUUUCCUAGAAAGGAAAACAGAACCAAGGAAACAGCUGUUUGUAAUUUCAAACGGGAGAUAAAUCCCACUUUGCCCACAGAGGAGAUUUGAAGCUCAAGUUGCACAAGGAAAAAGUCCCACAAUUGAGUUACUGUAUGACUGGGGGACAACAGUACUGUGGGGGAACUACUGGACAUUUUGAAAAGCCGCAAGUUACUGGCUGCUGCUUGUGUACUGUUACCUGGUAUGUUUCUAACUCACAUUUAAAGGAGCAAUUUGUGACACAAAUUUCAUAGAAGUAAACAUCUUUUUUAGUAGAAGAUAAAACACAAUUAGUGAUUCAACCUAUUCCCAUUUUGUGAAAGCUUUACAUUGCUGUUCUAAACCAAGGUUUUACAGUG
Anguilla anguilla (European eel) is the source of this 2710-nucleotide RNA transcript. RefSeq lists it as uncharacterized. The record is from RefSeq and is a predicted model, not a curated record. The transcript is spliced from 3 exons. NCBI's taxonomy places the organism in Eukaryota, Metazoa, Chordata, Actinopteri, Anguilliformes, Anguillidae.